GUGAUACUUCCUUCAAUAGACCCACUAGUUUUCCUUCCUGCCAGGACAUCCAUUAGAAUGGUUUCCCCAGCUCCACUCACACCAACUAAUGCUGUCAGAACACCUGGCCUAAAAGCACCACUGAUAUCGGAGAGCAACUGGAGACGACUUUCGGCGAAUCCUUGCUCUCUCAUUUCCUGA
This 180-nucleotide ribosomal RNA is filed under the name Triticum aestivum (bread wheat). RNAcentral's name for it is "partial small subunit ribosomal RNA". The record is from RNAcentral. Lineage: Eukaryota; Viridiplantae; Streptophyta; Magnoliopsida; Poales; Poaceae.